AGCGAACGCUGGCGGCGUGCCUAACACAUGCAAGUCGAACGUGAAAGGGAGCAAUCCCAAGUAAAGUGGCGUACGGGUGAGUAACACGUAGGUAAUCUACCCCAGAAUCUGGAAUAACCGGCCGAAAGGCUGGCUAAUACUGGAUAGAGCGACGGAAUCCGUAAUUGGGUUUUUCGGGAAAGGGAGCCUGUAAAAAGGCCUUCGUUCUGGGAUGAGCCUGCGUCCCAUCAGCUAGUUGGUGAGGUAAAAGCUUACCAAGGCAAUGACGGGUAGCUGGUCUGAGAGGACGAUCAGCCACACUGGAACUGAAACACGGUCCAGAUUCCUACGGGAGGCAGCAGUGGGGAAUCUUGCGCAAUGGACGAAAGUCUGACGCAGCAACGCCGCGAGAGUGAAGAAGGCCUUCGGGUUGUAAAGUUCGGUCGAGUGGGACGAAAAUGCUUGGAGUUCACAGCUCCAGGAACUGACGGUACCACUAAAGGAAGCACCGGCUAACUCCGUG
Molecule: ribosomal RNA, 502 nt
Filed under: uncultured bacterium
Lineage: Bacteria
Description: partial 16S ribosomal RNA
Rfam family: Bacterial small subunit ribosomal RNA
Source: RNAcentral